UUGUUUGAGCCGAGGAAAGUAUACAUACAGGUUUCCAUCAAAUGUUCCGUUUUUAUAUUCGGCAAACAUACAACAUACAACUGCUCAGAAGGCUGAUGAUAAUGAAGAUGUAUUGCUAUUGAAAAACAUGGUUAUUACGUAUUUAUGUUUUUGAUAAGGUAACGACUUAGUAAGUGCAGGAAGAUUUCAAAUAUAACGGUGGUAGAUAAAAAAUAGCAAUAAAAAAUGAAGACGGUGAAUAAAAAGAAAAUUUGGAUACACUACGAAUGUCUAUAGUAUUUACGAAAUGUUCCUUUGUCUAAAUACGAAAUAAAUUGUUAUUGGA
Long non-coding RNA from Pieris brassicae (large cabbage white), 325 nucleotides. RefSeq lists it as uncharacterized. The record is from RefSeq and is a predicted model, not a curated record. NCBI's taxonomy places the organism in Eukaryota, Metazoa, Arthropoda, Insecta, Lepidoptera, Pieridae. The transcript is spliced from 3 exons.